GGCCCAAGCAACAUUUUACCAAUAAAUAUAGGUCCACAACUCACACAAGAGAAGGGGGGCAAUUUUAAAAAAAAAAACAAAAAAAAAACCUAAAUCUAAACCUAUCUCUAAUCAAACAACCGCCACCCCACCCUCCAAUGGCUUUCAUUUUCUCUCCUAAGCUGUCGCUCACUAUCUUCUUCUUCCCUGCACCUGAAGCAGCCCCAUUCCCACAUCUCCCCCUGCCCAACGCCAUUUCCUUCUCCCUCAGCCCAAAACCAGCCGCCACUUUCCAGUCCUUCUUCUCACUUUUGCCUCCUUCUCUCCCCCCACUUCCUCUGGUUCUCUCCCAAACCAAAACAGAACACUAGCCGCUCAUCUAAACAAGAAAAUCGACUCUCCCUCUAUAAGCAAAAGGACCACCCCCCAGCCUUUUCUAUGUGGUUGCUCCUUCUCCCUCAAACCAACCACCAGAAGACUCCACUUCUUCGGACCUUCCCUCCUCACCGGAUCAUCUGUCUUUCUCCCACAUAACACAAACCGAUCUUCCCAGAUCUCGUCAUCUCCUUCAACCGGUCAGCAGCAGACUCGGCUCUCGUUGGCCAGCCUUCUACUGCAGCGAAGACACUGCAACAACGCCAGUAGACCGGACGGAAACCCAAAGGCCAGCAGCCCUAUGGUCACACGGUCGGCCACCUGAAACAAAGAACAAGGGGAAACAAAAAGAAGCUGAGCUACGGAGAGAGAAGCAGAUCUGCAAAACAAAAGAAAAAAACAAACCUAAAAUCAAUUGUUUGUGUGUUUUUUGUUGUUGCAGGUAACAGUAGUCAUCACAACCGGCAGGGAAGGGAAGAGAAGAAGAAAGCCAGCCAGAUCCAUCCAUUUCCGGGCAUUGCUUGCGGCGGCGUGUGAACCCACACGCCAUCAGUAGCAGUGGCGCAUGGAAGAGAUGUGCCGCCACUAUUCCUAAAGUGCCAGAAGUCUUCCCAGCACUGCUCUGAAUGUUAGGGGGUUUAUUUUGUAAAUUUUAAAUUGUUUAAUAUAAUUUUUGUUUAUUUUUUAAUUUUUAUAUUUUGUAGUGUGGAUGUAAAAAAAAAGAAAAAGAAAAAUAUAGUGAAAGUGAAUGUGUUGUUUAUAUUUUUUUAUGGAUUUUUUUAAUGAUAAAAUUGCCAAGAAUAAAGAAAAAUUUAAUA
This 1172-nucleotide long non-coding RNA is filed under the name Populus tremula. Its description in RNAcentral is "long non-coding RNA (PTRE_LNC003301)". Lineage: Eukaryota; Viridiplantae; Streptophyta; Magnoliopsida; Malpighiales; Salicaceae. The record is from RNAcentral.